CUAGGAGGCAGGGGAAGGUGCGGAGAUCUGACGUGUGACUCAUCCACCAUUUGUUUAUUCAAAUACCCAAGAACCUACUUAGGCAUGGGGUAUAUAAACCAUAAAAUCUCUUGCCUCUGUCCAAGUUACCUUAUCUGCAUUGACCAAGAGCACCGAGUAGGGGCCGUGUUGAGAAGACAGAACACAUUCAACACUGGCAACAUGGGAGAGGUAUCUUUGAGUCAUCCAAAUACUUAAGAACAACCAGGCAGCUAAGCUUAGACAAGUCUAGGCUGGAACUGGAAGUCUGGGGAUUCUUAACAUUUCAUGCCUGAAGCCUGGGCAGAGGAGACUGGAAAUCACCCAGGGAGUGAACAUAUAGUAAAAGGGGUCUGGGCAGAGCUCCUAAGUAUGAUAACACGUAAAACACCACUUACAGGAGGAUGAGCUGCCACAGGACACUCAGUACCAGUCAGGGAAGGGGAGAGGUUCCACUGACCUUGCUUCAGGUUUAAAUCACAUUUUCAGCUAAUGUUUCCUUUAUAUUUGCUGUUGAUAUACCAACUUCUACCAUCCCUGAGAGUGAUCACUAAAAUUAACGACAGAAAAAUGCCACAACUCAUUCCUCACAGUAACCUCUGACACCCAGAGGGAUCCAGGUUAGGCAUGGUUGGAGUCCUCAAGGAGUAAAGAGGCUGAAAACAGUGGGAGGAAAGACAUGCUGAAAUGACCC
Molecule: long non-coding RNA, 712 nt
Filed under: Homo sapiens (human)
Lineage: Eukaryota; Metazoa; Chordata; Mammalia; Primates; Hominidae
Description: long non-coding RNA NONHSAT164249
Source: RNAcentral